This 433-nucleotide ribosomal RNA is filed under the name uncultured bacterium. Its description in RNAcentral is "partial 16S ribosomal RNA". It matches the Rfam family "Bacterial small subunit ribosomal RNA", at positions 29 to 507 of the family's 1533-position model. The record is from RNAcentral.
AACGAACGCUGGCGGCAUGCCUAACACAUGCAAGUCGAACGAGACCUUCGGGUCGAGUGGCGCACGGGUGCGUAACGCGUGGGAACCUGCCCUUAGGUUCGGAAUAACUCCCCGAAAGGGGUGCUAAUACCGGAUAAUGUCUUCGGACCAAAGAUUUAUCGCCUUUGGAUGGGCCCGCGUUGGAUUAGCUAGUUGGUAGGGUAAAAGCCUACCAAGGCGACGAUCCAUAGCUGGUCUGAGAGGAUGAUCAGCCACACUGGGACUGAGACACGGCCCAGACUCCUACGGGAGGCAGCAGUGGGGAAUAUUGGACAAUGGGCGAAAGCCUGAUCCAGCAAUGCCGCGUGAGUGAUGAAGGCCUUAGGGUUGUAAAGCUCUUUUAGCCGGGAUGAUAAUGACAGUACCGGGAGAAUAAGCUCCGGCUAACUCCGUG